Molecule: long non-coding RNA, 1095 nt
Filed under: Homo sapiens (human)
Lineage: Eukaryota; Metazoa; Chordata; Mammalia; Primates; Hominidae
Description: HSALNT0300375
Source: RNAcentral
UCCCGCCUUGGCCUCCUAAAGUGCUGGGAUCACAGGCAUGAGCCACUGUGCCUGGCCUGAUUUAAUUCUUCUUCUUCACCUGAUCCAGUUUUCUCCAUGAAGACUUGAGACCAAGUCACAGUAGGUUUGGACCCAAAUGUAUGCUGCUCCUCUCUCCCCAUGUUCUUUGCUUCUGUUCUUAGCCUGGGGUAAAGUCCUCCUUGUCCUGGGCCAGACAUACUGUCAAGAGAAAGCUUGGUAUUGGACUGACUCCAUUUAAAGAACCUUAUUUUAUGAAUCUGUCCCAGGAAAAUAUAGUAACUCGUUAACAGUUUUGAAUGAUUUGUUCUUUGCUUUUUGGCAAAUUUCAGUUUAUCCUUGCUAGAGGGAAAACAAUAAAAUCCACAAGUAAUUCCCAAUUUUCAACCUAGCCCAGCAAUUUAACCUCCUCACUCACUUUGCCAAGGCUACUAAUAAGUAGCUGUGUGCCUGGCCUGCUUUCCUUCUCUCCUCUCCCUGGUCCUGCCCAUUGGCAGGGAGCCUCUUGUGAGUCAUAAGAUGACCAAGAGAUCACACGGCGAGAGACUGAAAGAAAAGCAGCAAAGCCCUGGGUAAUCAAGGCCCUAAACGGAAAGUGUCAGGAUCUUGGGGAUCGUAUUGUAUAAAAUGGAUGAAAACAGAGCUAUUGGGUUUGAAGCACUCCUGAACCCUCUCAUGGAACCCUAUGUCUUCCUGGAGUCUACAGAGCUAUUGGGUUUGAAGCACUCCUGAACCGUCUAGUAGAACCCUAUGUCUUCCUGGAGUCUACAGAGCUAUUGGGUUUGAAGCACUCCUGAACCGUCUAGUAGAACCCUAUGUCUUCCUGGAGUUUACAGAAAAAGAGACUCAGGGAUUUUCCCAAAGCACACUGCAAGUUAGGGGCAGGAAUGACAGCCCAGACCUUCUGGUUUCCAGUCCAGGGCUCAACUGCCUAAACAGUGGCAUCUCUUCAGGCAGGCCCUGUCAGAGGCAGCUCCCAAGUUGUGAUGUUGCCACCAGUAUUAGAACACAGUGGUCUCCAAAAUCUUGCCAAUGAAUCCUCCAAGAGACGGGGGUUUCACCAUGUUCGCCAGGCUG